AGGCAACUCGAGUGAAGAUUUAGGAGGUCAAGUCGGGGCAGACAUACGUUCGAAGGGGAAGCUUUAAGGUAAAGUCUAAGUUAAAGCUCCGGAUGAUGAUCAAGCUGAAUCAAGAACCAAACACAAUUUAAAUCCCUGUUGCUUCCGCGUUUUAGUAGUUUAUAUUUGUAAACUUAAGGACAUGUACUUUGUAUCAAAUCGUAGUUACUUGCUUAAUGAAAUCUCUUUUGAACAUAAA
Long non-coding RNA from Helianthus annuus (common sunflower), 238 nucleotides. RefSeq lists it as uncharacterized. NCBI's taxonomy places the organism in Eukaryota, Viridiplantae, Streptophyta, Magnoliopsida, Asterales, Asteraceae. The record is from RefSeq and is a predicted model, not a curated record. The transcript is spliced from 2 exons.